CAGCAGCCACGGUAAUACGAAGGGUGCAAGCGUUACUCGGAAUUACUGGGCGUAAAGCGUGCGUAGGUGGUGGUUUAAGUCCGUUGUGAAAGCCCUGGGCUCAACCUGGGAAUUGCAGUGGAUACUGGGUCACUAGAGUGUGGUAGAGGAUAGUGGAAUUUCCGGUGUAGCAGUGAAAUGCGUAGAGAUCGGAAGGAACAUCUGUGGCGAAGGCGACUAUCUGGGCCAACACUGACACUGAGGCGCGAAAGCGUGGGGAGCAAACAGGAUUAGAUACCCGGGUAGUCCCUGUCUCUUAUAC
This 301-nucleotide ribosomal RNA is filed under the name uncultured bacterium. RNAcentral describes it as "partial 16S ribosomal RNA". It matches the Rfam family "Bacterial small subunit ribosomal RNA", at positions 509 to 807 of the family's 1533-position model. The record is from RNAcentral.